Molecule: unclassified non-coding RNA, 2963 nt
Filed under: Leishmania donovani
Lineage: Eukaryota; Euglenozoa; Kinetoplastea; Trypanosomatida; Trypanosomatidae
Description: gene:LdHU3.24.1360(CDS-product:hypothetical_prote in_conserved)
Source: RNAcentral
CCAAGGCCAGCAGUACCGCAGCAGCAUCCCUGCACGUGCAUCCACGCUGAACGAAUGCCCUACUACGAGAACCGCCUGUACGGCCCCGAAGAGAAGCCGCCAUCACCACGGCAGUUGCGACUGCCAGUAGGGUUAGCGUCACCCACGCGUGACGCUCGUGCGGAACAGCGCUUUAUGUCGUCGUACAACGACAGCGACGUGGCGGAGCGGCCCAUGCGACUCAAUCGUCAUAUCCCCUCCCCGAUUCUGUCACCGAUCCCGACGAGCCCCGCGUACUACUCGUACCGCGAAGGGAGGGACCACAGCUCCAACCUCCGAGCAGGCGCCGGCGACGCGCAGCAGCGAAGGUGGAGGGGCGAGCGGGACCCAUCACGGCGUCCUCCGGUGGAGCCCGUAGCGGGCCAUAAUUCAUCCCCGAGGCACCGCACAGCAGAGGACUUCCUCAGCAUCCCACGAGCUGCGUCGUCGCCACGUACGCCGCAGGCCCACGCCGGCUCUGCGCGAAGUCAAGCGUGUGCUGAGGUGGAUCCGGUCACCGAAGAGCAGCAGGGUGCCGAGAAGUGCACAAGUGACGAAGAUCUUGUUGCCUCAAGGCCUCGCCCUGUAGCGGGGGACGCGAGGGAGCGUCCAUCCUCUGGAACGAAGGCGUACCGCAGUGCGGCAGGCGAGGAUGUCGUCAGUGCAGAGCCCGCAGCUCGUACACAACGGGUUGCAAGCGACAGUGUUAGAUCCGCACACGACUCACGUCGCGUGAGGGGUGCGCAUAGACACGAGGAUGAAGACAGCGAAGGCUGCAGCGCGCUCUCGGCUGACCCUGAGAACUGGCGGUCGCGGAAGUCGUUGCCCGCCGGCUGCGUGCGAUGCAACUACCGUCUUCCCGAGGAACUGAUCGAAUACCUGCAGGAGACGUCGAUGUACCGGUCGGUGCCACGCCCCUAUUGCCCGGAAUGCGGCGCUCGACUCGCGCCCGCUGUCAGGGGCACCCGUGGCGACGGUGACGACAGCGUCUAUGACAGUCCACGGUUACCACCGCGUCCCAGCCCACUGCGACGGCGAGAAAGCCGCUCAAAGCCCGUGAGCGUUCCUCAGCAAAACUCCCACGAAAGGCGGAGCAGCUCUUCGGAGUCAAGCGAUACCGAUAUAGACGUGCUGGAUGCCGGCAGCAGCUCCAGCGAUGACCCAAAGCACGAAUCGCAACCGUCGCGGGAAGCGCCGCCGCAGUUCUCCCGCCCCAAGCCCACGGCCGAGAAGUCCGUGCCUCCCCUACCACCUUGUCAUCCUACAACGUCAGUGCCACCGCCCCGCGGCGUACCGCCUGGAGACACCGACUGGACGCCCAGGGAGAAGCCUGUCAUGGUUCUGGCUAAGUCGCCAUACCUCACCCUUGAUUCCUUGCCCUGCAGCCUUGAUUACGUCACGAGAGCGGCGGCGCCGAGCAAUGGCCGGUGUCGAGGCCCGGAAGGCAUCAGCACCCUCAGCCCAGACGGCAUCGCCGCUCCGUGGGUGGUGGGGGGGUGCAUAGCGUGCUGCCGACAGGCCGGCGCCGGUCUCGCGGGAAUUUGUUGCUGCGCCAUGCCCUGCGUCCUCUUCCGCGAACGCCAGCAGCUACUCCUGCACAAACUGCGCAGUCGCUACAUCUGCUGCGCCGGUGCCUUCCCUUGCUGCGUUCCACCGGCGUCGCUGCGUCCGGAGCUGUACUACACGAUAGGGCCCGAUUACCUCUACAGCCCCGCCUUGUACGCUGCGGCUGGUCGAUAUUGGGAUGGUGUCCUCGACGCUAGCACGGCAGUGUCUCAGCAGCGGCACUGGCAUGGCCUAUACACGGCGAGCAAUGAUAAGGGCGAAGGGCGGGUGACCUCAUCAAACCUCGCCGGAGGUGGACGGGCGCCACUUGCCACCUUCCGUUCCGUGAACGGUGUCGCCUCCCCCGCCUCGCUUGUGAGCCCGCGGACGGGCCUUCCACUGGAUGGCUGCUACUCAAACGUGCCUUUCUACCAAAGCGGCAGGCCGUCCACCUGCUGUGCCACCUCGUCGGCGCCCGCUUCAGUGGGCACAGGUUGCUGUGGCUGCAUCAGCUGCGCCUGUGACAGCACGCGUGGUUGCUGUCUCUAUUGCGCGCACCCCACCGCCUACUGUUUGACGUGCCCCCUGUGCUGUCUGUGCUGCGAGAUGACGUGCUGCAUGCCGUGCGCUCUGUGGGCGAACCGGCUCCUGAUCCGCCAGCAUUAUCACCUCGUCCCCGACACGGCCGUCGACGGAGGGGCGGUGUGCUGCUACACGUGCUGUGUGCAGUGCUGCACAUGCUUGUGCACGCGGGCGCACGCCCCGACGAUGGCCAGCGCCGCCAUAGACAAGCGCAUCAGCGGUAUUGCCACGCCUGCAGCAAGCACGGCUGAGGCUGCCGCAUCACCGACGUCCCUUUCGUGCUGGUUUCAGCUGUCCACCACUGUCGCCGCGUGUCUGGCGGCUGUGUGUUGCUUGUGCCCCUGUGCGGCCUGUGGGUUAGCGCAGCAGCGAGAUCAGAUCCAGCGGCUGGGAUACCCGCUUGUCGUUGACGUUCCUCCAGAAAUCGACAUGAUGUAGUAGGACCUUCCCGCACCUCUACCUUUCCCCCUACCUUCGCGCAGGCGCGUCUGGGCGCCUGCAUCGCUUGUACGAUAAGGCAUUGUUUGCCUUUGCUCCCUCCCCCUCCUCUCCCGUCCCCUCCCCUUUUUUCUGUAUCGUCGCCCCGCACACACAUACACACACAUGCAUGCAUGCAUGCCACCCGUGUGCCGGCCGUGUCUCUGUUCUCCGUUCCUCCCUCCCUCCAUCCCUACGUCCGUCCCUCCCUCGUUGUUUUCCCUGACCUUGUCCCUCUCACCCAUUGUCGAUCUGCGCAUCUAUGGGUGAUGGGAGGUACAACGCGGGCGCCAAGCUGGGCGAAUACACAUAUACAAGGCGGGGAAAACGCAGCGAAGUGG